AUUCAGCGCUGCAGUGGUAGGUUAUAAAAAUACCAAAAAAAAACAUCAACAAGACACUAAUAUAUGACAGAUGUUCAACACUGACAUUUUGUUUUGAUAAUCAUAUCAAUAUUAUAUAAUUUAUCCAAAUUCAAUUAAUUCCAAGAAACAAAAAAGUACAUAAAUUAAAAUCAUGAGUGAGACCAGGACCAGCUACACAGAUUGGGCGAUCCGUGCUGGUGUAUGUGGGACAAUAGCCUUUUUUGGAGUUCCAAUGAUAGUCAAAGCUGUUGGUUUCAAAUCAGCAGGUAUCCUCGCAGGAUCAAAAGCAGCUGGUGUAAUGUCAGCAAUGGCAACUGGUGGAACAACUGCUUCUGGAGGAGUAGUUGCAAGUUGUCAAAGUAUUGGUGCAGUCGGGGCAAUUGCCAAAAAAACAGCUGUUGUAAUUGGUUUAAUGAUGGUACCUCUUGCAGCAUCAGUGCCAUCGGUUGAAGAUUGCAAACCUAAAGCAUCAAAAGCAUAUGAUUUGGCAAAGAGUGGAGCUGGUGGUGCAGUUUCUCUGACAAAGUAUGCUUACUCUACACAUGCACCUCAAGUAUAUGAGUUAGCAAAGAGUGGAGUUAAUCAAGUUGGUAAUCUUGCAAGUGGUGCUGCUUCAUUGACAAAGUCAGUUUACUCUUUAAUAACUUCAUCUAGGUGAAUAACAAAAAUGUUGUAUUUUCUUACUAAACUUAAAUACUCUUUUAAAAAAAUAAAUAUUUAUCAAUCAUUAAUUUAAUAUGACCUGCUUUUUCAAUCAAUUCCAUCAAUAAUCAAUCUGCAGUGUUAUCAUUUGAAAAAAUUUUAUUUAUCAUGUUAUAAUUAUCAAGAAGUAGCUGAAAUUAAAACUCCGGAUGUACUUGUAUGUUUUUUAUAUGAUUAUUUUGAUAAAUAAUUGUGUUAACGUUUAUUGAAUGAUUAAAUAAUCUCGAGAAAAAAAAGAAAAAGAAACAUAAGUACAGCCAAGUAAUAAAAACACCAUGACAAAUGUUUCCUUGAAUAAAAAUAAUAAACACAAUUAUAUGCUUUGAUAUAGAGUUACGAUUAAUACUGCUGCUGCGGCGGUUCCUUGUUGAACACAGUCAGGACCACCAACAAUCAAAUUAUUUUCAGGGUAAUAUGACUCCAAUUAAAUGAUACGAUUAUUAUGCGAAUUUUAUUUUGAUAAACCAAUCUGAAAAAUUCUUGUAAAUUGAACUGUUGGAGUGGUUGGUCUUGGUUUCCAGUAAAUUCUUAGUCAUUCACAAGUUAAAAGUUAAAACUGGGAUUCCCAGUUUGAUUGGAGACCCUGAGUGGGGUGAUGCCUAGACCUAUAUAAACUACUCCUCUGGCUCUCAAAGGACACAAUCAAAAUCAACGUCAAAGUCGAUAAAUCAACAUCUUAAAAAAAAAAAAUUAAAAUGUCUAAAGGUCAACAAAACACUCAACAAGGUGGCAAAGGUGGUGGCCUUGGAUUCGGAACUCAAGGGAUCAAAGCUGACUCUCAGGCUGCUGGCAUAAUGCGUGAAGGUGCUGUCAAGGGAGAAGUGCCUAAAGGAGGCAUAGUCUCUCAGUUGCAGUCUCAUGGUGCUAAAAAACCAUUUUAAACACCAACUUAUAUUAUCUUACAUCAAUAUACAUGGCACAACUCAUUCCAAUUUAUUAUUAUUUACAUUAAUAAACUUUUUUUUUACAAAUCUUUGAAAUUAACUAUUCAAACAUUCAUAUUAUUGAAAAUGUAAACUUUUCUUUUUUUAAAUUGAUAUAAUAAUAAAAAUGAAAUAAAAAACAAUAAUUAAAUAA
Molecule: long non-coding RNA, 1800 nt
Organism: Aphidius gifuensis
Lineage: Eukaryota; Metazoa; Arthropoda; Insecta; Hymenoptera; Braconidae
Exons: 3
Source: RefSeq, a predicted model, not a curated record